This 493-nucleotide long non-coding RNA is filed under the name Homo sapiens (human). RNAcentral describes it as "non-protein coding lnc-PDE6B-1:4". The record is from RNAcentral. Lineage: Eukaryota; Metazoa; Chordata; Mammalia; Primates; Hominidae.
CGGGGAGGGAGGGGGAGGGGCCGGGAGCUGGGGGUAAGGGAGGAGUGAGCCUGGGUGCUGUGGGGGGAGGGGGUUGUUCAAGGGAUGGGGACGAUCAGGGUCUCUGGGAAGUGCUGACGUGUGCGCGUGUGCGGUGUGUUGCUUGUGGGUGCGUGUGUGGUGUGUGCAUGUGUGUGCGCGCGCGUGUGUGCGGGGUGUGCCGUGAGCGUGUGCCCGCGGUUCGGGGGAUGAGUAGGGGCGCUGACUUUUAGGACCAGCCAUUUGAGUCAAGCUGGAGACGACGUCUUAGAACCUAGGAUGAGUCUCGUUUGGUUUUAGUCUGCAAAGCUCGUCUGCAUCAGACAGGAAUUUUCCCCAGACGCGGGUGCACGUGAAUUAAUUCAUCAGAAGGCGGUUCACGGCCUGAGUGAGGGGGACGAGGGCGGCGAAUUCCUCCGCCUCAUUCCUACCCUGACGAUUCGAGGGUUCCCCAGAGGCUGUGGACUCCUUGCCG